This 253-nucleotide ribosomal RNA is filed under the name uncultured bacterium. Its description in RNAcentral is "partial 16S ribosomal RNA". It matches the Rfam family "Bacterial small subunit ribosomal RNA", at positions 524 to 776 of the family's 1533-position model. The record is from RNAcentral.
UACGUAGGGUGCGAGCGUUGUCCGGAAUUAUUGGGCGUAAAGGGCUCGUAGGCGGUUUGUCACGUCGGGAGUGAAAACUCGGGGCUUAACUCCGAGCCUGCUUCCGAUACGGGCUGACUAGAGGUAUGCAGGGGAGAACGGAAUUCCUGGUGUAGCGGUGAAAUGCGCAGAUAUCAGGAGGAACACCGGUGGCGAAGGCGGUUCUCUGGGCCUUACCUGACGCUGAGGAGCGAAAGCGUGGGGAGCAAACAGG